UGGGUAACCUGCCUCAAAGAGGGGAAUAGCCUCCCGAAAGGGAGAUUAAUACCGCAUAAUAUGUUUUAAUCGCAUGAUUUUAACAUCAAAGGAUUUUCUUCGGAACUUCCACUUUGAGAUGGACCCGCGGCGCAUUAGCUAGUUGGUGAGGUAACGGCUCACCAAGGCAACGGACGGGUAGCUGGU
This 186-nucleotide ribosomal RNA is filed under the name uncultured bacterium. RNAcentral describes it as "partial 16S ribosomal RNA". It matches the Rfam family "Bacterial small subunit ribosomal RNA", at positions 118 to 291 of the family's 1533-position model. The record is from RNAcentral.